The sequence is a regulatory RNA element, 221 nucleotides long. It matches the Rfam family "ilvB-OMG RNA". The record is from Rfam.
GUCGUGCUGGUGGCAACGGCUAGCGUCGGGUACCCCCGUCCUCUGGCCUACUGCAUCAACGGUUUCAGUUGGUUCAGCUGCCCGCAUGUCCCGUAAAACGGUGCUGCCGCAUGGGUGGUCGCCGUGGGUCCGACACUGCGCUACCCCGCAGGGCGACACGCACGGGUUCUCGUGAUUGUCAUUCCCCCUUUGGCGAGUAGACGCUGUUGUUGCGUCCGGCG